This 253-nucleotide ribosomal RNA is filed under the name uncultured bacterium. Its description in RNAcentral is "partial 16S ribosomal RNA". It matches the Rfam family "Bacterial small subunit ribosomal RNA", at positions 524 to 776 of the family's 1533-position model. The record is from RNAcentral.
UACAGAGGUCUCAAGCGUUGUUCGGAUUCACUGGGCGUAAAGGGUGCGUAGGCGGUCGGGUAAGUCUGACGUGAAAUCCCGCAGCUCAACUGCGGAACUGCGUCGGAUACUAUUCGGCUUGAGGAAUGGAGGGGAGACUGGAAUUCUCGGUGUAGCAGUGAAAUGCGUAGAUAUCGAGAGGAACACCAGUGGCGAAGGCGAGUCUCUGGACAUUUCCUGACGCUGAGGCACGAAAGCCAGGGGAGCAAACGGG